Molecule: ribosomal RNA, 844 nt
Filed under: uncultured bacterium
Lineage: Bacteria
Description: bacterial SSU rRNA
Rfam family: Bacterial small subunit ribosomal RNA
Source: RNAcentral
UCUGUCGUGAAAUNCUCUGGCUUAACUGGGGGCUUGCGGUGGGUACGGGCCGGCUUGAGUGCGGUAGGGGAGACUGGAACUCCUGGUGUAGCGGUGGAAUGCGCAGAUAUCAGGAAGANCACCGGUGGCGAAGGCGGGUCUCUGGGCCGUUACUGACGCUGAGGAGCGAAAGCGUGGGGAGCGAACAGGAUUAGAUACCCUGGUAGUCCACGCCGUAAACGUUGGGCACUAGGUGUGGGGGGCCUUUUCCGGGUUUUCCGCGCCGUAGCUAACGCAUUAAGUGCCCCGCCUGGGGAGUACGGCCGCAAGGCUAAAACUCAAAGGAAUUGACGGGGGCCCGCACAAGCGGCGGAGCAUGCGGAUUAAUUCGAUGCAACGCGAAGAACCUUACCAAGGCUUGACAUGUGCCGGUCGGCUCCGGAGACGGGGUUUCCUCCUUGUGGGGCCGGUUCACAGGUGGUGCAUGGUUGUCGUCAGCUCGUGUCGUGAGAUGUUGGGUUAAGUCCCGCAACGAGCGCAACCCUUGUCCCGUGUUGCCAGCACGUUGUGGUGGGACUCGCGGGAGACUGCCGGGGUCAACUCGGAGGAAGGUGGGGAUGACGUCAAAUCAUCAUGCCCCUUAUGUCUUGGGCUUCACGCAUGCUACAAUGGCCGGUACAGAGGGCUGCGAUACCGUGAGGUGGAGCGAAUCCCUUAAAGCCGGUCUCAGUUCGGAUCGGUGUCUGCAACUCGACACCGUGAAGUUGGAGUCGCUAGUAAUCGCAGAUCAGCAACGCUGCGGUGAAUACGUUCUCGGGCCUUGUACACACCGCCCGUCACGUCAUGAAAGUCGGCAACACCCGAA